Vicia villosa (hairy vetch) is the source of this 2676-nucleotide long non-coding RNA. RefSeq lists it as uncharacterized. The record is from RefSeq and is a predicted model, not a curated record. Lineage: Eukaryota; Viridiplantae; Streptophyta; Magnoliopsida; Fabales; Fabaceae. The transcript is spliced from 5 exons.
CAGAAUUUUAUAGAAAGUGGCGAUUUAAGUCGGUGAUGCAGCCUGUUAUAACAAGCUGAACAUGUCUGAACAGGCUCGGUUUCUACGGGAACCAGUUUGUUAUUCGUUUCGGUUGAGUUUUAUGCAGGGCUGCAGUUCUGUUCAUGUGAUGAUGGUUAAAUUGGCAUGCUGAUUUUAUGGAUUAUGCAGGGGUCAUAUUGAGUUUGUGAUGUUAACUGGCUUGGACAGUUAUGGGCUUUAUGUGUUAAGUGCUGCAGGCUUGAAUCUUUCCAGCAAAUUGAAGUGGAAUGUAUAGCUGCUUAAUUGCUGUAUAUAUAUUUUUGUGAAUUUUUAUUUGACAUGAGAUAGGGUAUAGUAUAGUAUAUUCAAUUCAAUUUAAUUGUAUAUUGUAUAGUAUACUACAAAUUCAUAUACAUUUCACAGAGUUAGAAAUUAAGUGCGCGAAAGAGAUUGUAAAAUGAAGAAGACAACCAAACGUCCUUCCAAGUAAUCUCACCAUGCUGAAAAUGGAAACGGAAAACCACUAUAACCUCCUUCGCAACCGCGACCGUAUGAUAUCAGGUUUUCCAAAUGAGGGGGCUGCUGAUUGUGUAGACUCUUACAAGCAUAUGUCCGUGAUAGUCGUGUUAAAUUCUGUGGAACUACUGGUUGAUCUAAUUCGCUUUCCUGGCCAAAUGUUACCACGAUCAAUCAAGUCAAUUCUUAUGACACACAUUUCUGCAGCGAGAGGGAGUGAUUCAGCAGAAAAUGAUUCGUGUGAUUCAACAUAAACCAAAGAGUCCUUUAUAUGGAGUUUCAGAGAGGUAAGAUCCCGAGUGUUUGGAAAUAACUGACGCAUUGCUCAAACACUGACGCAUCAUGUUGAUAACAGGCACUUAUCACAUAAAACAUCAACUGAUAAUUGACACUUACCAGAUCCAAUGCAGAUUCAUUAUGCUGAUAAUAGUCACUUGAAGCUAUGGGCUUAAGGAUUCACUGUUUCCAAUUACUUUGCUGAAAGUAAAAUUAUAUAUGUAGCCUCUGUGAGCACAUGUGUUUCAGUUGUCUAUAUUCAUUUGCAUCUAUUGUGAAAUGAAUUUAUGCAUUAUGCACUUUAAGAAUUCAGGACUGCCUGCAAAUGAAGAUAAUGUUAUUGCGAUGAUGUGAUUUCUAAAUGCAGACACAGAAGAAUCUAUUUCGUAUGGACAUUUCUGCAAUUUCAUGCUCCUGCUUCCGUCAGAUCGACUUCAAGAGGAUCCGAGACUCGAGUACAAGCAUCAACCAUGUCUUUCCCUGAAAUAAUUGCUAAGCUGCCAGAGAUCGGGACACGUGGUUUAUACAGGGGUUCAAUACCUGCAAUUUUUGGACAGUUUUCAAGGUUGCUUAUUAAAUCUCUCUGUUUCCUCUCUGCUACUUUCUUUUAUGUUGGGAAUAUGAGCUUCAGUAGUACUUUAUUCUCUCAAUCAUUGAGUAGGGCCAUUUUCCUUUCAAUCUUAUUCUAGAUUUUGUAACUGUAGCCACAGCCUGCGAAUUGGGAUAUUGCACUAUUAAAAUAGUGGUUUUGUUUCCCAUUAUUAGUGUGUCACUGUGUCUAGAGUUUCUUGUAUCACUCGGCUUGACUCGGAUUCAAUUGAUGAACUUGCUUCAUCCAACAAUAAGAUAGGUGCAUUUUUCAAUACUACUCUUGCAAUUGCAAUUUUCUGUUUCUGUCCUGGGGUUAAGUCUAAACCUCUAAUCCCAACAUGAGUGUCGUAACCGUGAGGCAAACUGCUAAUAAAAUGAUGAGCAUUUGCUACUCUUGCUGCUUCUUUCAUCUCAGCUUCAUCGGCAUUGUGUCUUGCAUAUAUAAUGUUAUCCCUUAUUAUUGUUGAGAAGAUAAUAGUUCCUACUGUAUCAGACCGAAGUGGCUCCUCAACCAUCUCAAGUUAUAGAGCUUUAAAUCCCUUCCGUCCAGUAAAACUUGGCCCGCAACUGGAUCAUAAAAUCGCUGCAUCAAAGAUAUUAUAAUGCUCUUUCCUGAACCUGAAACUCCAACAACAACAACUGUUUGGCCUCCAUUCAUUUUCAGUUUAAAAUUUCUCAAUACUAACACUUCGGGUUAUGAUGGAUAACAAAAAUCAAUAUUUUUUAACUCAAUGCUUCCAUAUUUUUGUCAGCUGGAGCUUGCAGGUUACUGUAUACUUAUGUUCCAUAUUUUUGUCAACUGAUGUUAAAUAAAUACGAGCUACUAGGAAAAAUGGAUCGUCACGCCGAACUUUAUGAUAAAAUGGUAUUUCUUCUUCAUCCAGGUUUGCAAUAUAUUUGCUUUUGAGACAAGAACAGAAUUCGAAGGGUAUUUCUUGCGAUAUAUCUAUGCAGACAAAGUGGCUUCGGUCGUUGUUUUUGUUCAUUUGAUUGAUGUGUGCAGACAAAGUGGCCAUUGUAUACGAGAACUAUAUUAUAGACAUAACUUUGAUGGAUUUAUUUUUUGAUGCAGCUUUUACAAACAUGCUUCUAUUUACUUCUUGAGAGUUAAAGAAGGCAGAACUGUGUAUCACGAGCAAAUAUGUUACAAUUGACUACUUUGAAUGUGUGUUUCUUUUGUCUUUGUAAUUUAGUCUUUUAUUUAUUAUAGACAUGAUUGGAGAUGAAGUAUUUGUUAGGACUAGCAGCUUUGAAGAUCUUAACAAGAUGAUGUACAACAGGAAAUGAUGUACA